GACGAACGCUGGCGGCGUGCUUAACACAUGCAAGUCGAACGGAAAGGCCCUGCUUUUGUGGGGUGCUCGAGUGGCGAACGGGUGAGUAACACGUGAGUAACCUGCCCUUGACUUUGGGAUAACUUCAGGAAACUGGGGCUAAUACCGGAUAGGAGCUCCUGCUGCAUGGUGGGGGUUGGAAAGUUUCGGCGGUUGGGGAUGGACUCGCGGCUUAUCAGCUUGUUGGUGGGGUAGUGGCUGACCAAGGCUUUGACGGGUAGCCGGCCUGAGAGGGUGACCGGCCACAUUGGGACUGAGAUACGGCCCAGACGCCUACGGGAGGCAGCAGUGGGGAAUAUGGCACAAUGGGCGGAAGCCUGAUGCAGCAACGCCGGGUGCGGGAUGACGGCCUUCGGGUUGUGAACCGCUGUCGCCUGUGACGAAGCGUGAGUGACGGUAAUGGGUAAAGAAGCACCGGCUAACUACGUG
This 468-nucleotide ribosomal RNA is filed under the name uncultured bacterium. RNAcentral describes it as "partial 16S ribosomal RNA". It matches the Rfam family "Bacterial small subunit ribosomal RNA", at positions 28 to 507 of the family's 1533-position model. The record is from RNAcentral.